This 77-nucleotide transfer RNA is filed under the name Nitrospira moscoviensis. RNAcentral's name for it is "tRNA-Ile". It matches the Rfam family "tRNA". Rfam says of the family: Transfer RNA (tRNA) molecules are approximately 80 nucleotides in length. The record is from RNAcentral. RNAcentral also lists the same sequence under 33 other names. Lineage: Bacteria; Pseudomonadati; Nitrospirota; Nitrospiria; Nitrospirales; Nitrospiraceae.
GGGCCUGUAGCUCAGUUGGUUAGAGCACGCGCUUGAUAAGCGCGGGGUCGAUAGUUCAACUCUAUCCAGGCCCACCA